Molecule: long non-coding RNA, 2924 nt
Organism: Catharus ustulatus (Swainson's thrush)
Lineage: Eukaryota; Metazoa; Chordata; Aves; Passeriformes; Turdidae
Exons: 5
Source: RefSeq, a predicted model, not a curated record
GGUGGCGGCCGCCGCCUUUCAUAGCGGGCGGGCGGUGACGUGCGGCGGGCGGGCUGUGCUGUGGGGACGUGCCCGCAGACACGUCGGGGUGGAGAGACUCGGGCGGGAGGAGGAGGGGGCAGGAGCAGCGGGAAGGAGAUGGGGAGCAGGGGAGGGUGAAGGGCGGCGAGCGCCCGGCGCCCUGGGGCGGCUGAGGCGGGGCUGAGGAGCGCUCUGUUAUUCACCGCGAUGAGUGAAAGCAAACUCUCCGGCUCUGGAGAAUCUGUGCGGAAUUCAAGGCAUUCCUGCCCUCGUUUGCCGCCCGGCAGUGCCUGCCAGCCCUGUAUUCCUCCUCAGGGGUUUAUGGCGGUAGUUCCGGAUGGGGCCUCUUGUCGUGUGGCUGGAAACCAGCUUCUAAUUUCCAUCUAAGUCAAUAGAUGUUUGUGGGUUUUUUUGUUUGCUUCCCCUUUCCGUGUAUUUGCAUAUCCAAUUCCCCCUCAUUUGUUGCGUUAGGUUAUAUAAGCCCUUUUCAGCCCUGCAUGGGCAUACAAGGUUCCCUGGCCAUCGGGAUGUGUGUUUUGCGGGACUUUCUCGGUUUAAAUGCUUUUUAAAGGCUUUUUCUCCUGAGAGGGGCUGCUGCAUGGAGUGUCAGGCAGCGAUGCCUCAAACACAGCACGAAUGUUUUCCCGGAGUUGGUGGAAAUUCCAUGACUGGACUCACACUGGUCUGUUUGAGUCACACCAUGCUGACAGUUUCCUGUCACCCUGUGCUUGGUUAGUCAAGCCAAAUCCUUCUCCCCUUCACUUACUUCUUGCUCGGACUCCCAGCAAAAAGCAAAAUCAAUUUUUAUAAAAUUUAUUUCCUCAUUGCCUUCAAUUUUAUACUAUACUCUUCUGUGGAUCAUCCUACAAAACUGGCUUUUAGCAAAUCCACACUACCUUUUAUCCCUGUAUUAUUCAUUGAAUAUGAUGUUUUCAGUUAGAUUCUCCUUUGCAAGUUUUUCUGAGGAGCUGCAUACACAUCAAAAUCACAGCCCAAACUUGCCUCCACCAUGGCUUACUUCUUAGAACUUGCUGUUCUCUGGUCCUGUGGUAAUGCCUUCAAGUAGGCAAAUUCACUUAAAAUCUUUUUGAUUUGUGCAUGCCAGGGUUCUGGAAUUGAGAAUGCCUGGUUCCUCCAGCUGGAAAGCAGCAGACUCGGCAUCCUGUCUUUACACCAUGGAUUAUCAUGUUCAUCCUUACUGAAAAUCAGCAGUAACUGCUCAGGAGGAAAGCAGUCAUCUGGCAUGAUUGACAUGGCUUUUCUGCCUCAGAGAGCUUCAAUGAGAGAAGGCUCAGAACAGCACAAACAGAACGAAGUCCUGGCUCACGACAGACUGAGUCAAAUCUGAUGUUGCUGCAGGGGUGAGUAAGGACACCAAACCAGGACCUGCAGGUUUGCUGUGUGACCUACAGCUCAGCUGGGAGGUUAUCAGUAAACCAAAGCUACUGGGGAUGCUGACCAGCCCUGGAAAGGAAAUGAAUUUUUCAUGAAAGCAUGAGUCACCGUGCAGGAUUCCAAGCCAAACCCACUCCCUUGAUGGAACUCUGGAAUCUUACUCAUUUACUGAGGCGCUGCAGAAAAUGGGAUGCUCUGAUAAUUGACAUGCACUUAACGACACAAUACUGCCUCUUGUUUGGACAGAGACAUUCUUCUAGCAUUUCAGACCUUAUUUAUCUGGGUGAUGCUCUGUGUGAUAGCACAUUAUGCAUUCUCUCCCAGCCAAAAAUCACUGUGUCCAAACUUUCAUUUCUGUGAAUCAGAAUUUCAAGUUACAUUGCUGGAAAGUCGGCAUCCUAUGAGGAAGAAGUUGCUGGGCCAUACCAACCACUGCAGAAAGCUGAGUACUUCUCAACAUUACAGACAUUUGGUGGAGGAACCUACAGAUGAUUAUAUAAAAAAUGAUUAUUCCUUUGGAGGAGGAAGAUGAAGUUUAACUUGUAGUUCAACAGAUGCAGCAAUAGAAUGGAGAUAGGCAACCAGGUGCUUUCAUUUCAGUUCCCACAACUGGGCCACCCCUGAGAUUUCUUAAAGAGCUGCAGCUGGGCUGGCUGAGCCCAAGGGUAGCAGUCCUGAGGGCUGAUUUUGGUUUGUCUUGCAGACCUCAACUCUUCUGCUCUUCUCAGAGGUGAAAAAUAACUUCACUGUUUCUGCACAAGGUAUUCUUUUAAAUAUUUGGUUUUGUGGUGGUGAUGGUUGUUGGCAGCUCUGUAGGUGGAUACAGAGCCCUUGGCAAAAGACAUGGCUGUGACAUGCAGGUAUGGUCCUGAGAGGUUACCAGGCAGGGUUUUAAAUGCCAACUGUAUCCUAUGUACUGCUAGCAGAGCCCUGUAUGUGUGUUCAAAGUCUGGUUCAAAGAGUGAUUUCUUAUUCUUUCCAGGAAAGGGUUGCUUAGUAGUCUUAAUUACCUUCCACACCUUUUUAAUUUUAAGUGCCUGUGUUAACUGAAACAUGGUAUGUUGUACCAUUAUUCAGUACUAAAGGUCUGAACUAUGGCAGUGAUUCCAAAGAAAAGUAAAGAUAGGGAGAGAGAGGUACAGCCUCAAGAAAGGAAAUAGUCUUUUGACCUGGCUUCAUUAUGCAGCUGUAGUGAGAUCAUUAAUGCACCAAGCUGGAUAUCUCUGUUGGGAGCACAACUUUGCAGCACGAGCAUUGUAAAGACACAAAGCAGAAAGAGCUCAUCAGCUGAAGAGCCAGAAUGAACCAGGAGAGUGAAAGUAGAAGCAGAGUAAAGCAGAAUAAUUGCCAAAUAUGGCUCUUGGCUUGGCAUGCUGGGUUUUCCAAGAACAUUGCGAAAAUACCAACCCUCAUCUCCAUCGAUUAAUUCAGGGGUUUUAUUUGUAUUCAAGUUUUAAAUAGAAAAUGAAAGGUUGCAGCUUGCCUAUGGACUGCCAAUGAAUCGUUUU